AGAGUUUGAUCCUGGCUCAGGACGAACGCUGGCGGCGUGCUUAAUACAUGCAAGUCGAGCGAGGUUACUGUUUUGGAUCCCUUCGGGGUGAAGAAGCUUUAACCUAGCGGCGGACGGGUGAGUAACGCGUGGGUAACCUACCCCAAAGUCCGGGAUAACAGCGGGAAACCGCUGCUAAUACCGGAUGCCUUUACCUUGGGGCAUCUUGAGGUAAAGAAAGGUAACGCUUUGGGAUGGGCCCGCGUCCCAUUAGCUAGUUGGUGAGGUAACGGCUCACCAAGGCGACGAUGGGUAGCCGGCCUGGGAGGGUGGACGGCCACACUGGGACUGAGACACGGCCCAGACUCCUACGGGAGGCAGCAGUAGGGAAUAUUGCGCAAUGGACGGAAGUCUGACGCAGCGACGCCGCGUGAGCGAUGAAGGUCUUCGGAUCGUAAAGCUCUGUCCUUGGGGAAGAAGGUCUUCGGACUUGACGGUACCCAAGAAGAAAGCCCCGGCUAACUACGUGCCAGCAGCCGCGGUAAUACGUAGGGGGCGAGCGUUGUCCGGAAUUACUGGGCGUAAAGGGUGCGUAGGCGGCCCUUUAAGUCGGAUGUGAAAGCCCGCGGCUUAACCGCGGAAUGGCAUUCGAAACUGGAGGGCUUGAGUGUCGGAGAGGGUAGUGGAAUUCCCAGUGUAGCGGUGAAAUGCGUAGAUAUUGGGAGGAACACCAGUGGCGAAGGCGACUACCUGGACGAUAACUGACGCUGAGGCACGAAAGCUAGGGGAGCAAACAGGAUUAGAUACCCUGGUAGUCCUAGCCGUAAACGAUGGGUACUAGGUGUGGGUGGUUUCGAUACCAUCCGUGCCGUAGUUAACGCAUUAAGUACCCCGCCUGGGGAGUACGUGCGCAAGCAUGAAACUCAAAGGAAUUGACGG
Molecule: ribosomal RNA, 918 nt
Filed under: uncultured bacterium
Lineage: Bacteria
Description: bacterial SSU rRNA
Rfam family: Bacterial small subunit ribosomal RNA
Source: RNAcentral